RNAcentral lists this ribosomal RNA (497 nucleotides) under uncultured bacterium. RNAcentral's name for it is "partial 16S ribosomal RNA". It matches the Rfam family "Bacterial small subunit ribosomal RNA", at positions 28 to 507 of the family's 1533-position model. The record is from RNAcentral.
GAUGAACGCUGGCGGCGUGCCUAAUACAUGCAAGUCGAGCGAACAGACGCGGCGCUUGCGCCUCUGACGUGAGCCGCAGACGGGUGAGUAACGCGUGUAUAACCUACCUAUCAGACUGAGAUAACUUCGGGAAACCGGCGCUAAUACCGGAUAAUAUAUUGCACCGUAUGGUUCAAUAGUGAAAGACGGCUUUGCUGUCUCUUCUAGCUGGAUCCGCGCCGCAUUAGCUAGUUGGUACGGUAACGGCUUUUCACGGCGACGAUGCGUAGCCGACCGGAUAGACUGGUCGGCCACCCGGGAAGGGAGACACGGUCAAGACGCCUAAGAGAGGCAGCAGUAGGGAAUGGUCGGCAAUGGGCGAAAGCCUGACGGAGCAGCGCGGCGUGAGUGAUGAAGAUCUCCGGAGCGUAAAGCUCUGUUAUUAGGGAAGAACAAAUGUGUAAGUAACUAUGGCCGGCUUGACGGUACCGGAUCAGAAAGCCACGGCUAACUACGUG